Molecule: ribosomal RNA, 441 nt
Filed under: uncultured Acinetobacter sp.
Lineage: Bacteria; Pseudomonadati; Pseudomonadota; Gammaproteobacteria; Moraxellales; Moraxellaceae
Description: bacterial SSU rRNA
Rfam family: Bacterial small subunit ribosomal RNA
Source: RNAcentral
GGAAUAUUGGACAAUGGGGGGAACCCUGAUCCAGCCAUGCCGCGUGUGUGAAGAAGGCCUUUUGGUUGUAAAGCACUUUAAGCGAGGAGGAGGCUCCCUAGACUAAUACUCUAGGAGAGUGGACGUUACUCGCAGAAUAAGCACCGGCUAACUCUGUGCCAGCAGCCGCGGUAAUACAGAGGGUGCAAGCGUUAAUCGGAUUUACUGGGCGUAAAGGGUACGUAGGUGGUCUUUUAAGUCGGAUGUGAAAUCCCUGAGCUUAACUUAGGAAUUGCAUUCGAUACUGGGAGACUAGAGUAUGGGAGAGGAUGGUAGAAUUCCAGGUGUAGCGGUGAAAUGCGUAGAGAUCUGGAGGAAUACCGAUGGCGAAGGCAGCCAUCUGGCCUAAUACUGACACUGAGGCACGAAAGCAUGGGGAGCAAACAGGAUUAGAUACCCCUG